RNAcentral lists this transfer RNA (86 nucleotides) under Pseudomonas viridiflava. RNAcentral's name for it is "tRNA-Leu". It matches the Rfam family "tRNA". Rfam says of the family: Transfer RNA (tRNA) molecules are approximately 80 nucleotides in length. The record is from RNAcentral. Lineage: Bacteria; Pseudomonadati; Pseudomonadota; Gammaproteobacteria; Pseudomonadales; Pseudomonadaceae.
GCCCCGAUGGCGAAAUUGGUAGACGCAAGGGACUUAAAAUCCCUCGUCCUAUGGACGUGCCGGUUCGACCCCGGCUCGGGGCACCA